AUUGAACGCUGGCGGCAGGCCUAACACAUGCAAGUCGAACGAGUGGCGGACGGGUGAGUAAUGUCUGGGAAACUGCCCGAUGGAGGGGGAUAACUACUGGAAACGGUAGCUAAUACCGCAUACCAUCGGAUGUGCCCAGAUGGGCUUAGCUAGUAGGUGGGGUAAUGGCUCACCUAGGCGACGAUCCCUAGCUGGUCUGAGAGGAUGACAGGCCACACUGGAACGGAGACACGGUCCAGACCCCAAGGGGAGGCAGCGGUGGGGAAUAUGGCACAAUGGGGGAAAGCCUGAUGCAGCCAUGCGGGGUGUAUGAAGAAGGCCUUCGGGUUGUAAAGUACUUUCAGCGAGGAGGCGUUACUCGCAGAAGAAGCACCGGCUAACUCCGUGCCAGCAGCCGCGGUAUAC
Molecule: ribosomal RNA, 405 nt
Filed under: uncultured bacterium
Lineage: Bacteria
Description: partial 16S ribosomal RNA
Rfam family: Bacterial small subunit ribosomal RNA
Source: RNAcentral